Molecule: ribosomal RNA, 497 nt
Filed under: uncultured bacterium
Lineage: Bacteria
Description: partial 16S ribosomal RNA
Rfam family: Bacterial small subunit ribosomal RNA
Source: RNAcentral
GAUGAACGCUGGCGGCGUGCCUAAUACAUGCAAGUCGAGCGAACAGAUGAUGAGCUUGCUCCUCUGACGUUAGCGGCGGACGGGUGAGUAACACGUGUAUCACCUACCUAUAAGACUGGGAUAACUUCGGGAAACCGGAGCUAAUACCGGAUAAUAUAUUGAACCGCAUGGUGCAAUAGUGAAAGACGGUUUUGCUGUCACUAAUAGAUGGAUCCGCGCCGCAUUAGCUAGUUGGUAAGGUAACGGCUUACCAAGGCAACGAUGCGUAGCCGAGCUGAGAGGGUGAUCGGCCACACUGGAACUGAGACACGGUCCAGACUCCUACGGGAGGCAGCAGUAGGGAAUCUUCCGCAAUGGGCGAAAGCCUGACGGAGCAACGCCGCGUGAGUGAUGAAGGUCUUCGGAUCGUAAAACUCUGUUAUUAGGGAAGAACAAAUGUGUAAGUAAAUAUGCACGUCUUGACGGUACCUAAUCAGAAAGCCACGGCUAACUACGUG